GAUGAACGCUAGCGGCAGGCCUAACACAUGCAAGUCGAGGGGUAGCAGGAUUAAGCUUGCUUAAUUGCUGACGACCGGCGCACGGGUGCGUAACGCGUAUGCAACCUAUCUUAUACUGGGGUAUAGCCCGGAGAAAUUCGGAUUAAUCCCCCAUAGUACUAAUGAAUCGCAUGGUUUAUUAGUUAAAGCAUUGCGGUAUAAGAUGGGCAUGCGUCCUAUUAGCUAGAUGGUGAGGUAACGGCUCACCAUGGCUACGAUAGGUAGGGGGCCUGGGAGGGUGGUCCCCCACACUGGUACGGAGACACGGACCAGACUCCUACGGGAGGCAGCAGUUAGGAAUAUUGGUCAAUGGGCGCAAGCCUGAACCAGCCAUGCCGCGUGCAGGAAGAAUGCCCUAUGGGUUGUAAACUGCUUUUAUUUGGGAAUAAACCUCUUUACGUGUAGAGAGCUGAAGGUACCAAAUGAAUAAGCACCGGCUAACUCCGUGCCAGCCGCCGCCGUAA
RNAcentral lists this ribosomal RNA (503 nucleotides) under uncultured bacterium. RNAcentral describes it as "partial 16S ribosomal RNA". It matches the Rfam family "Bacterial small subunit ribosomal RNA", at positions 28 to 523 of the family's 1533-position model. The record is from RNAcentral.